UUCAUAUUCUCUACCAGAUGCCUGUUAGUUCCAGUCAGUUACAUGCCAACAUUCUCGACUACACCUAUUUUCCAUUACAUCCAAGCGUCUAGACUUUGAUUUGAAGCACAGAUGUAAGCAAGGAGUGAUGCAUGAACUGAACUACUCUACAAGGAGCCUUAGCAGUGGCAGACAAAGAACAUAUGAAGUGACCACCCCAACAUACAACCCUUAUAUACAGAUGCAAGACUGUGACCAAAAAAAGACACUACGUGCAAAACCUGAAAUCCUUUGGAACCUUCCAGGGUCCCCAUAUGGAAGAUGGGUAACACCAGAAAGCUUGAU
This is a long non-coding RNA of Caretta caretta (loggerhead turtle), 324 nucleotides long. RefSeq lists it as uncharacterized. Lineage: Eukaryota; Metazoa; Chordata; Testudines; Cheloniidae. The record is from RefSeq and is a predicted model, not a curated record.